UACGUAGGGCGCAAGCGUUGUCCGGAAUUAUUGGGCGUAAAGAGCUCGUAGGCGGUUUGUCGCGUCUGCUGUGAAAACCUAAGGCUCAACCUUGGGCUUGCAGUGGGUACGGGCAGACUAGAGUGCGGUAGGGGUGACUGGAAUUCCUGGUGUAGCGGUGGAAUGCGCAGAUAUCAGGAGGAACACCGAUGGCGAAGGGCAGGUCACUGGGCCGCAACUGACGCUGAGG
RNAcentral lists this ribosomal RNA (229 nucleotides) under uncultured bacterium. Its description in RNAcentral is "partial 16S ribosomal RNA". It matches the Rfam family "Bacterial small subunit ribosomal RNA", at positions 524 to 751 of the family's 1533-position model. The record is from RNAcentral.